Molecule: long non-coding RNA, 3219 nt
Organism: Dreissena polymorpha
Lineage: Eukaryota; Metazoa; Mollusca; Bivalvia; Myida; Dreissenidae
Exons: 15
Source: RefSeq, a predicted model, not a curated record
AGACGGUUCCGUAUGGGUGGGGGACCUGGUAUUGACAAGUAAGGGUAACAUUUCCAACAAAUCUUAAAUGUAAAUAUUAUUAUGUCCAUAGAUUGAAGUUUCAGGUGGAGAGUAAGAUGAAAAAUAUGCAAAAUUACAUGCAUGCAACCCAUUUAUGCCAUUUUUCUCUUUGUUUGUAGGCCUGACCGUUUGUCCUUGAGCCGUAGAUGGUCAACAAUCCGCUAGCUGUCUUGCUCUGACUGGUGCACUGGACAUGAUUUCAAUAGUCAGCCAGACCAUGAUUGAGCUUAAGGAUUGUGCUGCGGAUGCAGCCUGUGCAGUUCCGGGAGAAAGUCACUGUCUCGGGCAAUGCGGUCUGGUAUCAGGUCUGGAUGAUCCUUGCCUGACUGCGGGUUUGUGUACACCUCAAUCCGACUCUGUGUCCUGAACAGAGGCCGCAGUGGUGCAGCGCUUGUGGACGAUCCAUCAACAUCCUGAAAGGUCAACACUACACUAAGCUGGGAAAAUUGAUCCUGAUAGUCAUCCCCAGGCCUGACCGUUUGUCCUUGAGCCGUAGAUGGUCAACAAUCCGCUAGCUGUCUUGCUCUGACUGGUGCACUGGACAUGAUUUCAAUAGUCAGCCAGACCAUGAUUGAGCUUAAGGAUUGUGCUGCGGAUGCAGCCUGUGCAGUUCCGGGAGAAAGUCACUGUCUCGGGCAAUGCGGUCUGGUAUCAGGUCUGGAUGAUCCUUGCCUGACUGCGGGUUUGUGUACACCUCAAUCCGACUCUGUGUCCUGAACAGAGGCCGCAGUGGUGCAGCGCUUGUGGACGAUCCAUCAACAUCCUGAAAGGUCAACACUACACUAAGCUGGGAAAAUUGAUCCUGAUAGUCAUCCCCAGGCCUGACCGUUUGUCCUUGAGCCGUAGAUGGUCAACAAUCCGCUAGCUGUCUUGCUCUGACUGGUGCACUGGACAUGAUUUCAAUAGUCAGCCAGACCAUGAUUGAGCUUAAGGAUUGUGCUGCGGAUGCAGCCUGUGCAGUUCCGGGAGAAAGUCACUGUCUCGGGCAAUGCGGUCUGGUAUCAGGUCUGGAUGAUCCUUGCCUGACUGCGGGUUUGUGUACACCUCAAUCCGACUCUGUGUCCUGAACAGAGGCCGCAGUGGUGCAGCGCUUGUGGACGAUCCAUCAACAUCCUGAAAGGUCAACACUACACUAAGCUGGGAAAAUUGAUCCUGAUAGUCAUCCCCAGGCCUGACCGUUUGUCCUUGAGCCGUAGAUGGUCAACAAUCCGCUAGCUGUCUUGCUCUGACUGGUGCACUGGACAUGAUUUCAAUAGUCAGCCAGACCAUGAUUGAGCUUAAGGAUUGUGCUGCGGAUGCAGCCUGUGCAGUUCCGGGAGAAAGUCACUGUCUCGGGCAAUGCGGUCUGGUAUCAGGUCUGGAUGAUCCUUGCCUGACUGCGGGUUUGUGUACACCUCAAUCCGACUCUGUGUCCUGAACAGAGGCCGCAGUGGUGCAGCGCUUGUGGACGAUCCAUCAACAUCCUGAAAGGUCAACACUACACUAAGCUGGGAAAAUUGAUCCUGAUAGUCAUCCCCAGGCCUGACCGUUUGUCCUUGAGCCGUAGAUGGUCAACAAUCCGCUAGCUGUCUUGCUCUGACUGGUGCACUGGACAUGAUUUCAAUAGUCAGCCAGACCAUGAUUGAGCUUAAGGAUUGUGCUGCGGAUGCAGCCUGUGCAGUUCCGGGAGAAAGUCACUGUCUCGGGCAAUGCGGUCUGGUAUCAGGUCUGGAUGAUCCUUGCCUGACUGCGGGUUUGUGUACACCUCAAUCCGACUCUGUGUCCUGAACAGAGGCCGCAGUGGUGCAGCGCUUGUGGACGAUCCAUCAACAUCCUGAAAGGUCAACACUACACUAAGCUGGGAAAAUUGAUCCUGAUAGUCAUCCCCAGGUAGUGGAAUGAAUGUUCACUGAACUACAGAGGAAUCACACCCAAAUGACUUUCCUGCCACGACAUUAGUGUGGCCACUCGCGUAGGAAUUCCUUAGCAAACAUGCUCUUUUGCAUGGUGACUGUGGACAUUUUUGCAAAACUUAUGCUUUCAACACUGGAUUUUAAAGAGAAUACUUAAUAAAAUGUCGCUAACAGGACUUAUUUAUAUGAGAGAGACUAUCUGGAUGCGCAUUAAGUGUCACUUUGUGUCGUAAGCUGUUGAAGGAGCGAUUUGCGCCUUUUUAAGUGUUAAUUUUGGGUAGCCGGCUUGUAUCAGCUUGAAAGCUGAAAAUUAUGCCUCUCAUCAUAAUAGCAUUAAUUUUUGUAAUUGCAAUGUGUAUGUUUAGAUUGUAAGUGAAGCUUUUAAUAAUAAUUUUCUUAAAAAACAUGAUUUUAUAUGCUGUCAGUGAGUUUUUUAUUGAAAAAAGUGCUUAAAAUUUAAAAAAAGUCUCCUAUUUCAUCAAGAAAAGUACACUGAUUCACAAUCAAUACAUUUAUUUGGGCCUUUUGCUGAUAUAUUGGUGAAUUUCGCAUGCAAUGAUACCAGUUUUUGCCAUGAAAGUUACGCGUAACAAUAAUUGGAGACGCAAAAUCAGCUGUCGUCACUUAGACUAAAAAUCAUGCAUUCCGACUUGACUGCGGCCAAUUUAGUCACCGCUUUAAAUGGCCAUUUUAAGGCCUUUACCCCCAUCCGAAUGCACUGAAAUUGCAUAUUCAUUGUGGAAAUAGUUGAAAUCUCAUGUGGAGAAAGUUUGAAAAAGAUAGGACAAAGUUGAGUUCCCUUAAAGGUUACAUUACACUAAAUCAUUGUGUAUCCCUCCGUGGUCCAUUCGAAAGUAGUGCCUAUUUCUAAAGAGUUCCUUUUCUCUUCUUGAAUAUAAGCCAUUUAACAAUGUGAGACAUGACUUUUGUGGUUAUUUGUAAUAUCCUGUAUGUGUCUGGAGUACUUUGAUGCCUUGGAUUGGAAGCUAACUUAAAAGAUGAACUUUUGAGGGUGUGUUUUCUAUUGUGUGGGGCUUUUGUCGAAAUUAGGAUUCCGAAACACGUUUUUCUACGGUGGGUUCAUUCGACAGCGAUUUACUUUCUUAGAAGUUGCGAGACGGUAUGUUUUUGAUUGCAAUUAUUGGAAGAUGACAGAUCCAUCUUUAAAAUGAUACCAGGUUCGGAAAAAUUGAUACGUCGAAAAGGCAAGAAAAAUGCUGUGAAAGUUGUCAGUUUUAUAAUGGGACCCUAUGGGAAUCGGAAUUAG